Molecule: long non-coding RNA, 253 nt
Filed under: Homo sapiens (human)
Lineage: Eukaryota; Metazoa; Chordata; Mammalia; Primates; Hominidae
Description: HSALNT0340924
Source: RNAcentral
AUUCCGCCCACCUCUGCCUCCCAAAGUGCUGGGAUUACAGGCAUGAGCCACCGCAUCUGGCCAGCUUAUUUUCUAUUACUGGCUCAAUGUAAAGGCUCCAUCUCAGGAACAGCCAAUGAAAGAGAUGCACAGGACGAGGAACAGGACCUUGCCCUGUCACUCAGGAUGGAGUUCAGUUGUCCAAUCAUGGCUCAUUGUAGCCUCAAACUCCCAGGCUCAAGCAAUCCUACCAUGUCAGCCUUCCCAGUAGCUG